GUGAAUUAAACAUGCUUGGUGUCUUCGCUUCGGCAAGGCCCUUGCUUAAAUCACAUCCUAACACCUGUGAACUGUAAGACGUAUGAUGAGGUCUUUGGCCAAGUCAUCGUCUGCCCCAUUUUUAACAAACAAUUAAUGUAACAAACGUAGUCUUAUUAUAACCUAAUA
RNAcentral lists this unclassified non-coding RNA (168 nucleotides) under soil metagenome. Its description in RNAcentral is "partial internal transcribed spacer 1". The record is from RNAcentral.